Non-coding RNA from Macaca mulatta (Rhesus monkey), 680 nucleotides. Lineage: Eukaryota; Metazoa; Chordata; Mammalia; Primates; Cercopithecidae. The record is from RefSeq and is a predicted model, not a curated record.
UCCGAGGAAGCUUUGUUUUCUCCUUCUUAACAAUAAAUGUUGCUGCUGCUCACUUUUUGGGCAGUUAUUUCAGAGGUGUAACACUCUCCUUGAAAGUCUGAGGCUUCAUUCUUGAAGUCAGCGAGACCCUGAACCAACAGGCAGGAAUAAACUCUGGACACAACGGGUUUCUGCGAAAGAGAAAAGACGUUAUUCAUAAGGCUGCUGUGCGAGGAGGUGGGAGGACGAGUCUCAACUCUGCCUCCCUAAAACGGUCUUAAGGAUACUUACGGGAUGGAAAGUAAGGUGUGCGGAAAGGCGAGUGGGAAGCUGCUUGCAGCUGGUCACAGAGGUCACCAAGAAAAUUUUGCACCUGGAGAUUUUGUAUCAGCAAGAAGUGGAUAGAAAAGGAGAGGGUCGCUGGGAGGAAGUUGCCAGGUUCUCAAGUUACCCAGAAGACACAGUGGCCAUUUACAAGGAGAGGCAUUGGAAGUCCACACAGGGGCCCAGAGAAGCAAAAGACAGGACUUUCCCAAUAUCACAUCAACUGACUUCAGUCUUUCUAUUCCUUGCUGCAAGAUACUUCUACUAGAGAACAGAAGAAGUCAAUAUCUAAAGAAUGUCCAAAAAUAAAAAUUCUUCUUUUAAAAUGAGGUCUCGGUACCUCUUCAGGGAAGCCGUCCCUUCACAGUUCACAGUUC